AACCCGACUCCACGAAGUUGGAUUCGCUAGUAAGCGCGCAUCAGCCAUGGCGCGGUGAAUACGUUCCCGGGCCUUGUACACACCGCCCGUCAAGCCAUGGGAGCCGGGGGCGCCUGAAGUCCGGGACCGCGAGGACCGGCCUAGGGCGAAACUGGUAACUGGGGCUAAGUCGUAACAAGGUAUC
This 184-nucleotide ribosomal RNA is filed under the name uncultured bacterium. RNAcentral describes it as "partial 16S ribosomal RNA". It matches the Rfam family "Bacterial small subunit ribosomal RNA", at positions 1309 to 1500 of the family's 1533-position model. The record is from RNAcentral.